AAAGACAUUUACCACCAAAUGGCAGGUCC
Molecule: non-coding RNA, 29 nt
Filed under: Mus musculus (house mouse)
Lineage: Eukaryota; Metazoa; Chordata; Mammalia; Rodentia; Muridae
Source: RNAcentral